RNAcentral lists this long non-coding RNA (277 nucleotides) under Helianthus annuus (common sunflower). RNAcentral describes it as "sRNA HanXRQr2_Chr03g0088971". Lineage: Eukaryota; Viridiplantae; Streptophyta; Magnoliopsida; Asterales; Asteraceae. The record is from RNAcentral.
UUUCUCUGGUCACCAACUCUUUUCCUUAGGCCUCCUAAUCCUUCUUAGGACUCUUGCUGGGCUUUACCUAGUGUUCUAAGAUUUAUUCGGUUUAUGCCGAUCUAGGAGCCCAGUAAAAGCUACGUGCACUCGUUAUAUUUGGUUUAUACUUGCUCAGGUACUAAGCGUAAUAGGCUGGCCACUCCUUAAGCAUCCAUAGAAGUCUCGCAAGCUUAGGAUGCAUGAAGUCUGUUGAAAUGAAGUUCCUUUUUAUUUUGAUUCCGCCUGUGGAUUCUAU